GAUGAACGCUGGCGGCGUGCUUAACACAUGCAAGUCGAACGGAAAGGCCCAAGCUUGCUUGGGUACUCGAGUGGCGAACGGGUGAGUAACACGUGGGUGAUCUGCCCUGCACUUCGGGAUAAGCCUGGGAAACUGGGUCUAAUACCGGAUAGGACGAUGGUUUGGAUGCCAUUGUGGAAAGUUUUUUCGGUGUGGGAUGAGCUCGCGGCCUAUCAGCUUGUUGGUGGGGUAAUGGCCUACCAAGGCGUCGACGGGUAGCCGGCCUGAGAGGGUGUACGGCCACAUUGGGACUGAGAUACGGCCCAGACUCCUACGGGAGGCAGCAGGGGGGAAUAUUGCACAAUGGGCGCAAGCCUGAUGCAGCGACGCCGCGUGGGGGAUGACGGCCUUUGGGUUGUAAACUCCUGUCGCUAGGGACGAAGCGUUUUUGUGACGGUACCUGGAGAAGAAGCACCGGCUAACUACGUG
RNAcentral lists this ribosomal RNA (468 nucleotides) under uncultured bacterium. Its description in RNAcentral is "partial 16S ribosomal RNA". It matches the Rfam family "Bacterial small subunit ribosomal RNA", at positions 28 to 507 of the family's 1533-position model. The record is from RNAcentral.